UUAAGUUCAGCGGGUAUCCCUACCUGAUCCGAGGUCAAUCGUCGUGGACGUGGAGGGUUGAUGGCCAACGACCUGCACCGGCACCAUAGCGAGGAGUAAAGUUACUACGCUCGGAGCCAGGCGGCUGCCGCCACUGAUUUUGAGGGCUGCCCCCGCGAGGGCACGCCCCAACACCAAGCAAGCGCUUGAGGGGUGAUAAU
Molecule: unclassified non-coding RNA, 200 nt
Filed under: fungal sp.
Lineage: Eukaryota; Fungi
Description: partial internal transcribed spacer 2
Source: RNAcentral